CCAAGAGUCCACAUCGACGGGGAGGUUUGGCACCUCGAUGUCGGCUCAUCACAUCCUGGGGCUGUAGUAGGUCCAAAGGGUUGGGCUGUUCGCCCAUUAAAGUGGUACGCGAGCUGGGUUCAGAACGGCGUGAGACAGUUCGGUCCCUAUCCGUCGCAGGCGUAGGAAAUUUGAGAAGACCUGUCCUUAGUACGAGAGGACC
RNAcentral lists this ribosomal RNA (202 nucleotides) under Clostridioides difficile. RNAcentral describes it as "partial 23S ribosomal RNA". It matches the Rfam family "Bacterial large subunit ribosomal RNA", at positions 2492 to 2693 of the family's 2925-position model. Lineage: Bacteria; Bacillati; Bacillota; Clostridia; Peptostreptococcales; Peptostreptococcaceae. The record is from RNAcentral.